Molecule: ribosomal RNA, 375 nt
Filed under: Scomberomorus sierra (Pacific sierra)
Lineage: Eukaryota; Metazoa; Chordata; Actinopteri; Scombriformes; Scombridae
Description: partial 12S ribosomal RNA
Rfam family: Bacterial small subunit ribosomal RNA
Source: RNAcentral
GUUCAACCUCACCCUUCCUUGUUUUUCCCGCCUAUAUACCGCCGUCGUAAGCUUACCCUGUGAAGGUCUAAUAGUAAGCAAAAUUGGCACUGCCCAGAACGUCAGGUCGAGGUGUAGCAUAUGAGAGGGGAAGAGAUGGGCUACAUUCGCUAGUCUAGCGAAUACGAAUGAUAGUACUGAAACCGUACAUCUGAAGGAGGAUUUAGCAGUAAGUCGAAAAUAGAGUGUUCUACUGAAGCUGGCUCUGAAGUGCGUACACACCGCCCGUCACUCUCCCCAAGCUCACAAUACAUUAAUAUACAUAAAAUGCCUAAACCGCUAAGGGGAGGCAAGUCGUAACAUGGUAAGUGUACCGGAAGGUGCACUUGGAAAAAU